GACGAACGCUGGCGGCGUGCUUAACACAUGCAAGUCGAACGGAAAGGCCCUGCUUGCAGGGUACUCGAGUGGCGAACGGGUGAGUAACACGUGGGUGAUCUGCCCUGCACUUCGGGAUAAGCCUGGGAAACUGGGUCUAAUACCGGAUAGGAGCCAUUUUUAGUGUGAUGGUUGGAAAGUUUUUUCGGUGUAGGAUGAGCUCGCGGCCUAUCAGCUUGUUGGUGGGGUAAUGGCCUACCAAGGCGGCGACGGGUAGCCGGCCUGAGGGGGUGGACGGCCACAUUGGGACUGAGAGACGGCCCAGACUCCUACGGGAGGCAGCAGUGGGGAAUAUUGCACAAUGGGCGCAAGCCUGAUGCAGCGACGCCGCGUGGGGGAUGACGGCCUUCGGGUUGUAAACUCCUUUCGCUAGGGACGAAGCUUUUUGUGACGGUACCUAGAUAAGAAGCACCGGCUAACUACGUG
Molecule: ribosomal RNA, 465 nt
Filed under: uncultured bacterium
Lineage: Bacteria
Description: partial 16S ribosomal RNA
Rfam family: Bacterial small subunit ribosomal RNA
Source: RNAcentral